UGGGGAAUUUUGGACCAAUGGGCGAAAGCCUGAUCCAGCAAUGCCGCGUGUGUGAAGAAGGCCUUCGGGUUGUAAAGCACUUUUGUCCGGAAAGAAAUCCUUGGCUCUAAUACAGUCGGGGGAUGACGGUACCGGAAGAAUAAGCACCGGCUAACUACGCGCCAGCAGCCGCGGUAAUACGUAGGGUGCAAGCGUUAAUCGGAAUUACUGGGCGUAAAGCGUGCGCAGGCGGUUUGCUAAGACCGAUGUGAAAUCCCCGGGCUCAACCUGGGAACUGCAUUGGUGACUGGCAGGCUAGAGUAUGGCAGAGGGGGGUAGAAUUCCACGUGUAGCAGUGAAAUGCGUAGAGAUGUGGAGGAAUACCGAUGGCGAAGGCAGCCCCCUGGGCCAAUACUGACGCUCAUGCACGAAAGCGUGGGGAGCAAACAGGAUUAGAUACCCUGGUAGUCCACGCCCUAAACGAUGUCAACUAGUUGUUGGGGAUUUCAUUUCCUUAGUAACGUAGCUAACGCGUGAAGUUGACCGCCCGGGG
This 532-nucleotide ribosomal RNA is filed under the name uncultured bacterium. Its description in RNAcentral is "partial 16S ribosomal RNA". It matches the Rfam family "Bacterial small subunit ribosomal RNA", at positions 355 to 878 of the family's 1533-position model. The record is from RNAcentral.